This 909-nucleotide ribosomal RNA is filed under the name uncultured delta proteobacterium. RNAcentral's name for it is "bacterial SSU rRNA". It matches the Rfam family "Bacterial small subunit ribosomal RNA", at positions 8 to 934 of the family's 1533-position model. The record is from RNAcentral. Lineage: Bacteria; Deltaproteobacteria.
AGGGUUUGAUCAUGGCUCAGAACAAACGCUGGCGGCGUGCCUAAUACAUGCAAGUCGAACGGGGAAAGUAGCAAUACGAGUACUAGUGGCGCACGGGUGAGGAAUACAUAGGUAAUCUGCCCUCAAGUUUGGGAUAACUAGUCGAAAGAUUAGCUAAUACCGGAUAUGACCACGAGAUCUGAGGAUCUUGAGGUAAAAGUUUUUCGCUUGAGGAUGAGCCUAUGUGGGAUUAGCUAGUUGGUGAGGUAAUGGCUCACCAAGGCAACGAUCCCUAACUGGUCUUAGAGGAUGAUCAGUCACACUGGAACUGAGACACGGUCCAGACUCCUACGGGAGGCAGCAGUAGGGAAUAUUGCACAAUGGGGGAAACCCUGAUGCAGCGACGCCGCGUGAGUAAUGAAGGCCUUCGGGUCGUAAAGCUCUGUCGUAUGGGAAUAACAAAAUGAAUGUACCAUGCAAGAAAGGAUCGGCUAACUUCGUGCCAGCAGCCGCGGUAAGACGAGGGAUCCUAGCGUUGUUCGGAAUCAUUGGGCGUAAAGCGGGUGUAGGUGGGCUUUUAAGUCAGGUGUGAAAUCCCAGGGCUCAACCCUGGAAGUGCACUUGAUACUGGAAGUCUUGAGUGUGGUAGAGGCUAUUAGAAUUCUUGGUGUAGUGGUGAAAUACGUAGAUAUCAAGAGGAAUACCGGAGGCGAAGGCGGAUAGCUGGGCCAACACUGACACUGAGACCCGAAAGCGUGGGGAUCAAACAGGAUUAGAUACCCUGGUAGUCCACGCCGUAAACGAUGGACACUUGUUGUUAGUGGUAUUGACCCCACUAGUGACGUAGCUAACGCGUUAAGUGUCCCGCCUGGGGAGUACGGUCGCAAGAUUAAAACUCAAAGAAAUUGACGGGGGCCCGCACAAGCGGUG